This 253-nucleotide ribosomal RNA is filed under the name uncultured bacterium. Its description in RNAcentral is "partial 16S ribosomal RNA". It matches the Rfam family "Bacterial small subunit ribosomal RNA", at positions 524 to 776 of the family's 1533-position model. The record is from RNAcentral.
UACGUAGGUGGCAAGCGUUGUCCGGAAUUACUGGGCGUAAAGGGUGUGUAGGCGGAUAUUUAAGUGAGAUGUGAAAGACCCGGGCUUAACUUGGGCAGUGCAUUUCAAACUGGGUAUCUAGAGUACAGGAGAGGAGAAUGGAAUUCCUAGUGUAGCGGUGAAAUGCGUAGAGAUUAGGAAGAACACCAGUGGCGAAGGCGAUUCUCUGGACUGUAACUGACGCUGAGGCACGAAAGCGUGGGUAGCAAACAGG